CAGGAACUAGAGAAAAUGCUGCUUAUCUAACGCAAAGCUCACACUUAACGCCGGCAAAUCAGUGUCCUCGGGAAGAACAACACAGGAAACGGGACGUUGCAAACACCAGGCUUUAUCUUCGGAUAGUGUUCAACAACAAAGAAGUCUGUAAGACAAAGCCGAGGGCUCUCAGUCAAGACUUUACGGUGACCUGGGGGCAGAUAUUUACCCUGCGUGUGCUGCAGUUUCCGCAGUCGCUUACGGUGGAGGUCCACGAAUCUCAUGGCAUCACGUCGCAGAAGCUAGCAGAUGUGCUGUUGCCGGUGCCGGAUGAAGAGCAGACCGUCGAGAAGGCGCAUCUCUCCACGAUCCAUUUCGCGAGCGACAUCGUUGUUACUUCGACGCAAGCAGGCGUCGGG
Ixodes scapularis (black-legged tick) is the source of this 398-nucleotide long non-coding RNA. RefSeq lists it as uncharacterized. The transcript has 4 exons. The record is from RefSeq and is a predicted model, not a curated record. NCBI's taxonomy places the organism in Eukaryota, Metazoa, Arthropoda, Arachnida, Ixodida, Ixodidae.